AAACCAGGUGAUCUCUGCGGGUGACUCAGCUGCUUUGGUUUGGAACCGAAGCAGGAACCUGCCUUUGUGAAAUGGGGACAAUAAAAACAUUUCCCCCUUCACUGCCCCACCCUUGUCUCUCCACUUACGAGGCUGGCGGGAGCGCUCGUUAGCCUGUAAACUGCUUCUGGUCUUCCUUGGAGAGUGACAUCUGAUGGAGACUCAGGCCAGUGAAGGUGGAAAUAGCGUGAGGCUCAGUCUUGGAGAACGAGUGGUCCUGGGAUCGAUAUUUGUGCCUGAAUCCACGAGUCGAAUGAGGUUGUUCCAGGCCUGAAAGGGACGCACAAGACUUCUGUUAACAUCUCAGUGGCAAAAAUUCAUCUUUGGCUACAUCUGGGCAUAGGAGGCGCUGGAAAAAGGAAUGCAUGUUUGAGCAGCUGUCUUUUAUCAACAACUUCACACUGUGGAAGAGGAAACAUGAUUUUUGGUGGGCCGAUAGCCAUCUCUUUUGUAAAAGUAUCAUCAUCAUCAUCCCCAUUUUUGGAUGGGGAAACUGAGGCUCCAGUGCUGAAGUAACUCACCCAAGGUCUGUAGCUGGUAAGUGGUGGAGGCAGGAUUUGAACCCAGGUAGUCCAGCUGCAAAUCCCACGUGCUUGCCACUGCAUCCAGCUAGCUCACAGCGACGAGCAAGGCGCUAUACCUUCCACUGUCAAGAAAAAGAUGAUGUCAGACACGUCCUUGACAUUUUAUUUUCAAGAAUAUAGCACUUGAAACAAGCUAAAUAAGCACUUGAAAGCAGUGCUUUCACAGUCCUUCAAAGUUAGAGCUCAAUUGCCACCUUUUCAGCGGGGCCUUCUCUGCUCCCCUUGUCUUCCAGCCACCCUGCACUCCAGGUGCUCCAUUUCAUGUAACCUUGUGUAUCCCUUUUCUUCAUAGAGCCAUCGCUGUCUAAAAUCAGGCGCAUGUUUGUUUCCUUGUGGAUCUGCUAUCUCCCUGACUAGAACAUAAACUCCCUGAAAGCAGGGAGCUGGUCAGUCUUGCUCACUUUGUAUCCCAGUGCACACUGCAGAGCCGGGUACAUAGUAAAUCCUCAAUAAAUUUUUGUGAAAUGAAUGAGUAGGCAUAUUUACAAAGUGCUGUGGGAGCAGAUACAUUCAUUUAUUCAUUCUCAUAUUCAUUCACUCACAUAUUAGUUACCCAUUUGUUCAUUCAUUCAUUCAUAGACUUUCUCAAAUGCCUGAUCUGAGGAUAGAGGGAUGAUAGUCUAUGGUCUAAGGGUAGCUUGUGAAACCCUGGAAGGCUUCCUGUAGGUGGUGAUGUUAGAGUUGGAGGGAGUAUUGAAUUGUGAGUUGGGGAAGAGGUUGUCACGUUACGUCUUUUGACACUUUUACAUCUUCACUUGACCUGUACCAAGUGCAUUGCUGCCACUGGCUUUGUAAAUGACCGUCGGUCAGUAAGGAGACCAGCCUGGCUGCCACUUUCUGACUGCAAACCUAAACUGCAUAAACAGGAGAAUAAAGAGCAGAGAAUGGACUCACAGCGGGACAAGGUGGGUUUGUCCUUUCUGUUGCACUUGGAGGGGGCCAAGGUCAGGUUCUAGGGUCAUAGGAAAGGGCUGGCGGCUGUCUUUAGCCUAUAAAUAAGAUGACCCAGCCAUCCAUGUGAUGGUCAGCUCAUCCCAAAUUCCUGAUGCCACAGCAAUGCCAAUGUUACAGCUGUAAGCAUGAGCGUCCCUAAGGAGAGGUGCUCAAUGUUUUUCUCAAAAAUCUGAAUUCUUACUCUUCAAUUUUCUUUUUGGGCAAGUCAAACCAAUAGGUAUGGCAGCUACCCCAUUUCUGAUACUGAUGAAUAUGCUCAGAUAACGUCACAAGUGGCAUGCCUGGCAUGAUCAAAAUGAGAGUCAGCUGCUGGAGGAAUGAAGUAUUUGACCUUUCCCCAUAAGAGGCUGCUCCAGUCCCGGCAUUGUGAGUUCUGGCGCUCAGGGAGCUUUAGGAAAGAGGUCCAGGUGUUCCAGGGCUGUUCACAUCUUUUUGGGGACAUUUUUCUUAUUACCAUUGUAGUAAAAUUUCAGUGUCUGAAAACUACAAAAAUACAAACGUCCAACAAUGCAAACAAAAGAAAAGAAAAAUCACCUCCAUUUUUCAAGGGCCCGGAGGUGACCAGCUUAGCAUUUUGACAUGUUCUUUCAUUCUUUCUGUGCAUGUAUGUGUGUGUCUUUUUAUACAGAAAUGGCACCCCUACCUCUUUACAAACUGCUUUUUUCACCUAAUAACACACUAUAUACAUUAUUCCAAUCCAUUUCUUUUUUUGUUUGUUUGUUUGUUUUUUGAGGAAGAUCAGCCCUGAGCUAACAUC
This is a non-coding RNA of Equus caballus (horse), 2334 nucleotides long. Lineage: Eukaryota; Metazoa; Chordata; Mammalia; Perissodactyla; Equidae. The record is from RefSeq and is a predicted model, not a curated record.